Molecule: ribosomal RNA, 492 nt
Filed under: uncultured bacterium
Lineage: Bacteria
Description: bacterial SSU rRNA
Rfam family: Bacterial small subunit ribosomal RNA
Source: RNAcentral
GGCUCAGAUUGAACGCUGGCGGCAGGCCUAACACAUGCAAGUCGAGCGGUAGAGAGGUGCUUGCAUCUCUUGAGAGCGGCGGACGGGUGAGUAAUGCCUAGGAAUCUGCCUAGUGGUGGGGGAUAACGUUCGGAAACGGACGCUAAUACCGCAUACGUCCUACGGGAGAAAGCGGGGGGAUCUUCGGACCUCGCGCCAUUAGAUGAGCCUAGGUCGGAUUAGCUAGUUGGCGAGGUAAUGGCUCACCAAGGCGACGAUCCGUAACUGGUCUGAGAGGAUGAUCAGUCACACUGGAACUGAGACACGGUCCAGACUCCUACGGGAGGCAGCAGUGGGGAAUAUUGGACAAUGGGCGAAAGCCUGAUCCAGCCAUGCCGCGUGUGUGAAGAAGGUCUUCGGAUUGUAAAGCACUUUAAGUUGGGAGGAAGGGUAGUAACCUAAUACGUUGCUACUUUGACGUUACCGACAGAAUAAGCACCGGCUAACUUCGUG